UAAGCAGGUAACGUUAACCAGCUGCUGCAUGCAGGUAAAAGCUGUUUGCUAGGGGAUAAAUAAGUGUAGAAAUGCUAAAAAGCAAGAGUCUCCUGUAAUAAGUAAAGUCAUCUUCCUGAGGGCUGGAGGUUGAGCAGAGCUGCAGUGAGGAAUUGCUCCUGGCAGCUGAUUUGUAGUGGUUCUACACAAGAGACCCCCCCCCUCCUAGGUUAACUCUGGAUCCUGCCAACUUCUACUACCCUCAUUCCUAAAGGCAACCCUGACAAGAUGCAGGGUUGCAGAGCUGGAGUACAACACAGUGGGCAGUGGAGAGCCAGGCUGGGAACAUCAGGAACAGGGCACCUCCAUACAUGUAAAAGAGAUAGAUAGAGAAAACAGAAAGAAAAGAAAAAAAAGAAAAAAGCAAGAGUUAGUAGCU
RNAcentral lists this long non-coding RNA (418 nucleotides) under Astyanax mexicanus (Mexican tetra). Its description in RNAcentral is "lncRNA (ENSAMXG00005024186.1)". The record is from RNAcentral. Lineage: Eukaryota; Metazoa; Chordata; Actinopteri; Characiformes; Acestrorhamphidae.